AGAAAGGCUGCUGGGCAGCUAGCCAUUUCAUCUGCCGUUUCCAUCCACCUGCCAAACCCCUCUCUUCUGCCUGUGCAAAGAAAAUGUGUGAAAAUGUUCUACUGACAUAAAUCAGUAAUAACCCUGUACAACCUUAUUUUUUAAUCCCCCCUCCUCUUUUUUUUUUUUUUUUUUUUUUUUUUUUUUUUUUUUUUUUCAAAUCUGAGGAUAAAAGGCCCAAAAAGAGCCAAUCCUAAAAUACCAUUUGUAGUUGGCAGCUGCAGUGAGCUCUGUGGGGAAGUGGAGAAUGGACCUGGACUGUAGGAACAACAGAAUAGCGGGCUACAUGCUUGACAAAUGUGAUUCAUGCAUAUGCUGUUGUCUCUUUGAAUAGAUCCCAUGAGUUUGUCAAGACUGAAUGAAUCCUCAUUCAUCAUGAAUGAAAGCUGGUACAGAAAAUUGGACACAUUCACCAGAGUAAUUGCAUCCAUUUGCAGUUCAACGUCCGGUGGUUUCGUUAUAGUGAGAGAAUUGAGAUAUGGUGGCAGUGUCUGACUUUUCAAUGCAAAGCUGCCUGAGAUUCAAGUGUGAUUCAUUCAUUUCAUUUCUCUUUUUGGGCUAAACAGAAGUUUUGCAGUAAAGAUAUUUGUUUUCCCAGCUACUGGCAUCUAGACUUGAUAACAUUUUCUUAAUGCCUUUGUAUUAAAUUUUUUCCUGUACAUACAUGGUGUACUUAUAUUUGCCCUGCAAAACUGUGUAGAUGAUUCUCCUGUACUGGAUUAUUAUUAUAGGCUAAGAAAUAUAUUGAACAUAAUAAUGAUCAAGAAUAUGUAUAGUAAACGUGGUGGUCAAAGUAAUUUAUAGACCUCUGUCAAAUGUUCAUUCAUUUGUUUUUGCUCGUUUUAUUGAAUUGAUUUAUGAAAAUAUUCCCAUGUUAUCCGACUGAUCUUAGGUUUAGAAAUGAUUUAUUGACAAAGAUGACAAAAACAUGAAUCAUAAAGAAAAUCCAUUUUCAUACUUUAUACUAAUGCAGUGCAAGAGUGGAUUCUACCACAUUGUGUAAAUAUUUCAAGGAAAAAGAUAUUAAUGUUAUAGAUUUAUACCAUCAGAUAUAGAUAUUCAAGUAACUCUGAUAGUUGUAGAUCACAUGUUUUGCUGUUGGGAAAUUUGUUACUGAAAAAUUCACAAGAUCAUACUUUUCAGUAAUAUCUGCUGAAGUCAAGGGCAGAGAGUGCACAAGUUUUCAAGCAGCUGAAUAACUUGAAAUUUCCUGAGCAAAUAAAACUGUGCCUUUUUGACCUAGAGCUCUUGUC
This 1292-nucleotide long non-coding RNA is filed under the name Phasianus colchicus (ring-necked pheasant). RNAcentral describes it as "lncRNA (ENSPCLG00000019594.1)". The record is from RNAcentral. Lineage: Eukaryota; Metazoa; Chordata; Aves; Galliformes; Phasianidae.